Molecule: unclassified non-coding RNA, 256 nt
Filed under: Hevea brasiliensis (rubber tree)
Lineage: Eukaryota; Viridiplantae; Streptophyta; Magnoliopsida; Malpighiales; Euphorbiaceae
Source: RNAcentral
UUAUGGCCGGUGGAGAAGCCUCUCAAUGCAAGAAGAUGGCGAUGGUGCAAGCGUCCAAGGAGCUGCACUUCUGUAUUGAAGACAUUGUCAUUCAAAGCUCUCAGUUCUUUUACCAAUGCAACUCUGCCAUCUUGAAAUUUAGCAUUAUAAGCAGCACUCCGAGGAUUGGUGUAAACAACUCUGUUGAACCCACCAGUUGCCCUUUUUAUUUCCGUGUAGGAAAAACGCCUCACGUACAAUAUUGGCACAGAACGAG